GAUGAACGCUGGCGGCGUGCCUAAUACAUGCAAGUCGAGCGAACAGACGAGGAGCUUGCUCCUCUGACGUUAGCGGCGGACGGGUGAGUAACACGUGGAUAACCUACCUAUAAGACUGGGAUAACUUCGGGAAACCGGAGCUAAUACCGGAUAAUAUAUUGAACCGCAUGGUUCAAUAGUGAAAGACGGUUUUGCUGUCACUUAUAGAUGGAUCCGCGCCGCAUUAGCUAGUUGGUAAGGUAACGGCUUACCAAGGCAACGAUGCGUAGCCGACCUGAGAGGGUGAUCGGCCCCACUGGAACUGAGACACGGUCCAGACUCCUACGGGAGGCAGCCGUAGGGAAUCUUCCGCAAUGGGCGAAAGCCUGACGGAGCAACGCCGCGUGAGUGAUGAAGGUCUUCGGAUCGUAAAACUCUGUUAUUAGGGAAGAACAAAUGUGUAAGUAACUAUGCACGUCUUGACGGUACCUAAUCAGAAAGCCACGGCUAACUACGUG
Molecule: ribosomal RNA, 497 nt
Filed under: uncultured bacterium
Lineage: Bacteria
Description: partial 16S ribosomal RNA
Rfam family: Bacterial small subunit ribosomal RNA
Source: RNAcentral